Long non-coding RNA from Galleria mellonella (greater wax moth), 844 nucleotides. RefSeq lists it as uncharacterized. The transcript is spliced from 2 exons. NCBI's taxonomy places the organism in Eukaryota, Metazoa, Arthropoda, Insecta, Lepidoptera, Pyralidae. The record is from RefSeq and is a predicted model, not a curated record.
UUUUUUUUCAUUUAUUGUGACUUUGGCGAAAGCCAUCAGCCAAAAAGUAACAAUUACAAGGUAACAAUAUAAAAUUACAAGACAAAUUACAAAAAUUAUUAUAGUUAUAAAUUAAUUAUAAUAUACUAAGAAAGUAAGUUAAGUAGAAAAGUAUAAGUUACAAUUACAUAUUUAAAUUUCACCAAUUGUUGAAGUAAUAUAAUUAAAAAUUUCUUGGUACAAAAUGGUAUGUUUUAGUAGAUCCUGCACUGAAGUAGGAAUAUUUUGACAUUUUAAUAAAUCUUGACAUUGACAAAUAAAAAGUAACCGUUGAAAUGAGAAUUUAGGACAAACAAAAAAAAAAUAUGAUCCAAAUCAGAAAAAAUGUUUUGGCAUUAUUUACAGAUAGAAUUAUCCAAUAAAUUAAUACGUUGCAAAUGUGCAGGAAAUUUACAAUGACCUAUCCGCAAUCUACUUAAUGAUCUAUAAUCAUGGGCACCGGCACAUAUGGAACAAACUUGCUUACUUCUGCAGGAACUGCUUCCAUGACCAAAUUUGUAACAAGUGAAGCAUUGGAGUAGAGGUCUAAUGAAUUCACGCACAUCCAGCCAAAUAUGAUCAUACGUUACGUGAUCAGGUCGCUGCGUAGAGAGGAAAGUUACUAAAACUGUAGGAAGAGGAUGAAAACUUCCAUCUUCUUUCUUUUUUUUGGAACGUUUAACACCGAUGAUUUCUACAGUAGAUUUUAAGUUAUUUAAGAGAUCUUCCUCAGAUAUUUCAGUAGGAGCUCUUAUAACUCCCUGAGAUUCCAGCUGAUUAUUGGGUAUCCUAGCCUGAAGUUUAUGUUUCUCUAAUAAAUCUUUAU